This 432-nucleotide ribosomal RNA is filed under the name uncultured bacterium. RNAcentral describes it as "partial 16S ribosomal RNA". It matches the Rfam family "Bacterial small subunit ribosomal RNA", at positions 29 to 506 of the family's 1533-position model. The record is from RNAcentral.
AACGAACGCUGGCGGCAUGCCUAACACAUGCAAGUCGAACGAGACCUUCGGGUCUAGGUGCGCACGGGUGCGUAACGCGUGGGAACCUGCCCUUAGGUUCGGAAUAACUCCCCGAAAGGGGUGCUAAUACCGGAGAAUGUCUUAGGACCAAGGAUUUAUCGCAUCUGGAUGGGCCCGCGUUGGUUUAGCUAGUUGGGAGGGUAAAAGCGUACCAAGGCGGCGAUCCGUGGCUGGUGUGAGAGGAUGCACAGCCACACUGGGACUGGGACACGGCCCAGACGCGUACGGGAGGCGGCAGAGGGUAAUAUAGGACAGUGGGCCAGAGCCUGCUACGGCACGGCCGGGUGAGUGAUGAAGGCCUUAGGGUUGUCAAGCUCUUUUAACCGAGAUGAUAAUGCCGGAACCGGGAGAGUAGGACCGGGCUACCUCCGU